Erinaceus europaeus (western European hedgehog) is the source of this 2018-nucleotide long non-coding RNA. RefSeq lists it as uncharacterized. The record is from RefSeq and is a predicted model, not a curated record. The transcript has 5 exons. NCBI's taxonomy places the organism in Eukaryota, Metazoa, Chordata, Mammalia, Eulipotyphla, Erinaceidae.
GAGCCGGGGGCCCGAACCGGAUCCUUAUGCAAACCCUGGUUUGUAUAUUUUUAAGGCAAAGGAUAUAAAAGCUGCUCAUCUGUGUGAGUGGACAACUUGACCCUUGGUGGAAAACAGUCUUUCAGAGAAUCAUCUGGAAGUUAAGAACACUAAUACCUGAUAGCCAGCUGCUACAAGCCUAAGGCUGUGUAAGACUUCAAAUCCCCAAGAAGAUUUUUCAGCAUAUCCAGAGCACAGUGGAGGAGUUCAAACCCAGAGUCGACAGUCAAUCAGAGUUCUGCUGGCUCCUAACAAAGAGCUGAGCCCCUGGCCUCUUACAUCAUCAUUCUGUAGUCUUGUUGGCCAGCCAGGUCAGUGGAAGACUCGGGAUUUCACUGGAGCAGGUGCAUCAGCAAAGGCUUUCCUGGACAUCCACAGACUUCCCCUAAGAAUGGACUCCUUUCAGCAGAACUCCAACAUCAGCAUUAAGUCAGAUGUGCCCUCCCUACUAAACCACUCCAGGGAUAAAACUGAACCAUUGCUAAAUGCCCACAGGAGUGUGGCCCUCUGAAAAAUGAGCAUAAUAAUUACUGACAGUCAUGGCGGCAGUGAAUUUUAAAAAUGUGUGUGUGGAGGAGUAUGAUCUGAGAAGUCAAAAACUAGAGGUUGCCCUCCAAGGGUUAAACUAAUUAAACUGACACAUAAUAGUGGGUGACAGAAGGAACUUAGAGGCUCAGGGGAAAGUCACCUCACCACUGCCUUGGUUAGUAAUGUUACAUCCGAAAGUGUCAGCAGAGGAAAGUUCCACACUGAAAAUGGGGGAGCUUGGGGAGAGAGAUGUAAAGAUGAUCUUUCCAGAUGUCCCCUAGCAAUAGUAAUCGCAGUGUUUAAUGCUUGACCUGGGCCAACUCAAAUAUCAUACUGACACAAAUCCCAAGACUGCAGAAAUGGGACAGGCAGCAGAAGCACUGAUUCUGGUGGAUAUUUUCACUAGUUCUGCGUCUGUUCAUGAAGUAGCACCCACACCUGUCAUUCAGCUGUGGGGGAUAUACAAUCCUGUCUCCCACCACACUGGAUGCCAUAGGGUUGAGAUUUGACCCAAGUCAAACAUAAUGUAGUUUCUGUCCCUAUGAAAUAUGAGCCUGCGACACAGCUCACCGGGGUAGGGUCCUGGGCCUGCUUUCUCAUACACAGGAACUAGGUUUGAGCCCAGCCCCCAAUUGCACUGAGGGAAACUAUGGUAUUUUCUCCUUUCUCCCUCUGCCCUCCUCUCUUUUCAUAGUAUUUGAAAAUGGUGACCCAGAGUAGUGAAGUUUGGGUGAUUAAAGAAAAAAAAGAAUAAAUAAAGCACUUACAGGCUUGGAAUUUCAAUUUUAACACCUAUAGGGCUGAUUAUUCCUCCCCAGGUGCUGAAUCUACCAUGGAGUUUCUGCCAAUGGUUCAGAAUAAAAUCUAGAUUUUGAUAGACAGUUUAUAUAGAAUUUUCCACUAUAAACAGUAAAAAUGUUCUUUAACUUUAUUUUUUUAGUCUUUUUUUUCAUUUUAUUGUAGUUAUUACUGUUGUUGUUACUGAUGUCAUUAUUGUUGGAUAGGACAGAGAGAAAUGCAAAGAGGAGGAGAAGACAGAGGAGGAGAGAAAGAUAGACACCUGCAGACCUGCUUCACCGCCUGUGAAGUGACUCCCCUGGAGGUAGAGAGCCGGGGGCUCAAACCGGGAUCCUUAUGCCAGUCCUUGUGCUUUGCGCCACCUGCGGUUAACCCGCUGAACUAGCACCCGACGUUCUUUAACUUUAUAAAUUAGACACUUCUGCAACAAAAAAAGUAUCUGUGAUGUUUGUGCGUCUCUACUAUUUAGCAACUAUUAUUGAUUUUCUCCAUUUAAUACUUUGGGCUCCCUUAAAGAUUAGAUGUCUAUAGGUGUGGUGAUUUUCUUACUGCCUUUAUUUUCAUUUAUAACUAUGAUCUAUAUAAUAUUUAUUUAUUAACUGUUAUAAGUGAUCCUGUUUAUAGGAUCAAAAGAUAGCUCACUGGGAAGGGCG